Notothenia coriiceps (black rockcod) is the source of this 400-nucleotide long non-coding RNA. RefSeq lists it as uncharacterized. NCBI's taxonomy places the organism in Eukaryota, Metazoa, Chordata, Actinopteri, Perciformes, Nototheniidae. The record is from RefSeq and is a predicted model, not a curated record. The transcript has 3 exons.
GGAAGGGAGGAAGAAGGGAGUGUGCUUUUGUGUGCUUCUGGGACUCCAGGUAAGAGCAGAGUUGACCCGCUGCCAGGAGCAUCACAGAUUUCCUUUCUGCUGAACAACUGUCAGUCUCUCUCAGAGCCGUCUGAUCGCAGAGAGUGGAGUGGACUUCUUCAAAUGGGGGGGAAAGUUUGUGCAGAGCAGGAGGACACAUCAGAAGUCUAUGGAAAUGCAGGAUCUAGCCAGUCCUCACAGCAGAGUAAGUGGAAGCAGUGAAUCUCCUAAUGGUCCCAACCUCGACAACUCCCACAUCAAUAACAAUUCCAUGACACCCAAUGGCACUGAAGGUGAUAACAUCACAAUGCUUACCACUGCAGACUGGUUGUUAGGGUCUAACUCACAGUCCGCUGCAGGU